This 76-nucleotide transfer RNA is filed under the name Sporichthya sp. RNAcentral's name for it is "tRNA-His". It matches the Rfam family "tRNA". Rfam says of the family: Transfer RNA (tRNA) molecules are approximately 80 nucleotides in length. Lineage: Bacteria; Bacillati; Actinomycetota; Actinomycetes; Sporichthyales; Sporichthyaceae. RNAcentral also lists the same sequence under 1 other name. The record is from RNAcentral.
GUGGGCGUAGCUCAGCUGGUAGAGCACCGCGUUGUGGUCGCGGUGGUCGCGGGUUCGAGUCCCGUCGCUCACCCCA